AUACGAAGGGGGCUAGCGUUGUUCGGAAUUACUGGGCGUAAAGCGCGCGUAGGUGGAUUGGUCAGUUAGGGGUGAAAUCCCAGGGCUUAACCCUGGAACUGCCUCUAAUACUGCCAGUCUUGAGUUCGGGAGAGGUGAGUGGAAUUCCUAGUGUAGAGGUGAAAUUCGUAGAUAUUAGGAAGAACACCAGUGGCGAAGGCGGCGCACUGGCCCGAUACUGACGCUGAGGCGCGAAAGCGUGGGGAGCAAACAGGAUUAGAAACCCUAGUAGUCC
Molecule: ribosomal RNA, 274 nt
Filed under: uncultured bacterium
Lineage: Bacteria
Description: partial 16S ribosomal RNA
Rfam family: Bacterial small subunit ribosomal RNA
Source: RNAcentral